This 616-nucleotide ribosomal RNA is filed under the name Mucronea californica. RNAcentral's name for it is "eukaryotic LSU rRNA". The stretch from base 247 to 402 matches the Rfam family "5.8S ribosomal RNA". The record is from RNAcentral. Lineage: Eukaryota; Viridiplantae; Streptophyta; Magnoliopsida; Caryophyllales; Polygonaceae.
UCGAGACCUGCACAGCAGAACGACCCGCGAACUCGUUUACCAACACCGAGGGGCGGGCUUGCCCCGUCCCCUUGGAGCCGGRACGCGCCACCCCCUCUCCCCGUCAAAAGGGCGAGGGGACUGGCGUGCGACGGCAAGUACCCAAACACCGGCGCGGGUUGCGCCAAGGACCAUGAAUUCUAUCGCGUCCCGCAGCCCCGGGCGACCGGGUGCAGCGGGAAGGCGUGUUGAGAAAUUGAACACAACGACUCUCGGCAACGGAUAUCUCGGCUCUCGCAUCGAUGAAGAACGUAGCGAAAUGCGAUACUUGGUGUGAAUUGCAGAAUCCCGUGAACCAUCGAGUCUUUGAACGCAAGUUGCGCCCGAAGCCAUCCGGCUGAGGGCACGUCUGCCUGGGCGUCACGCAUCGCGUCGCCCCCUCCCCCUCUGUGGAGCGGAGAGAGGGGCGGAAUUUGGCCCCCCGUGCGCCCCCGCGCGCGGCCGGCCUAAACACGGAGCCCGUGGCCGCGAGCGCCGCGACGUUUGGUGGUUGAUCCUUAAGCAUCGCGUCGCGCGCCAGAGCGCGCCCGGAGCACUCGAAGGACCCUUAGGCGGAGCAGCCUACCCUUGCGACCCC